This 477-nucleotide ribosomal RNA is filed under the name uncultured bacterium. RNAcentral describes it as "bacterial SSU rRNA". It matches the Rfam family "Bacterial small subunit ribosomal RNA", at positions 26 to 507 of the family's 1533-position model. The record is from RNAcentral.
AGGACGAACGCUGGCGGCGUGCCUCAAACAUGCAAGUCGAGCGGACGGAGACCGAACCGCAAGGGGAGGUUGAAGUUAGCGGCGAACGGGUGAGUAACACGUGGGUAACCUACCCUAAAGUCUGGGACAACGGCCCGAAAGGGCCGCUAAUACCGGAUAAUGUCUUCGGGUCGCAUGGCCUGGGGAAGAAAGCCGAAAGGCGCUUAUGGAUGGGCUCGCGUCCCAUCAGCUAGUUGGUAAGGUAACGGCUUACCAAGGCGACGGCGGGUAGCCGGUCUGAGAGGAUGGUCGGCCACACUGGGACUGAGAUACGGCCCAGACUCCUACGGGAGGCAGCAGUUGGGAAUAUUGGGCAAUGGGCGAAAGCCUGACCCAGCGACGCCGCGUGAGGGAAGAAGGCCUUCGGGUCGUAAACCUCUGUCAUCGGGGACGAAGAAAGUGACGGUACCCGAGGAGGAAGCCCCUGCUAACUACGUG